AGCGAACGCUGGCGGCAGGCUUAACACAUGCAAGUCGAGCGGGCAUAGCAAUAUGUCAGCGGCAGACGGGUGAGUAACGCGUGGGAACGUACCUUUUGGUUCGGAACAACUGUGGGAAACUUCAGCUAAUACCGGAUAAGCCCUUACGGGGAAAGAUUUAUCGCCGAAAGAUCGGCCCGCGUCUGAUUAGCUAGUUGGUGAGGUAAUGGCUCACCAAGGCGACGAUCAGUAGCUGGUCUGAGAGGAUGAUCAGCCACAUUGGGACUGAGACACGGCCCAAACUCCUACGGGAGGCAGCAGUGGGGAAUAUUGGACAAUGGGCGCAAGCCUGAUCCAGCCAUGCCGCGUGAGUGAUGAAGGCCCUAGGGUUGUAAAGCUCUUUUGUGCGGGAAGAUAAUGACGGUACCGCAAGAAUAAGCCCCGACUAACUUCGUGC
RNAcentral lists this ribosomal RNA (436 nucleotides) under Bradyrhizobium elkanii. RNAcentral's name for it is "bacterial SSU rRNA". It matches the Rfam family "Bacterial small subunit ribosomal RNA", at positions 29 to 508 of the family's 1533-position model. Lineage: Bacteria; Pseudomonadati; Pseudomonadota; Alphaproteobacteria; Hyphomicrobiales; Nitrobacteraceae. The record is from RNAcentral.